This 497-nucleotide ribosomal RNA is filed under the name uncultured bacterium. RNAcentral's name for it is "partial 16S ribosomal RNA". It matches the Rfam family "Bacterial small subunit ribosomal RNA", at positions 28 to 507 of the family's 1533-position model. The record is from RNAcentral.
GACGAACGCUGGCGGCGUGCCUAAUACAUGCAAGUUGAGCGCUGAAGGUUGGUACUUGUACCAACUGGAUGAGCAGCGAACGGGUGAGUAACGCGUGGGGAAUCUGCCUUUGAGCGGGGGACAACAUUUGGAAACGAAUGCUAAUACCGCAUAAAAACUUUAAACACAAGUUUUAAGUUUGAAAGAUGCAAUUGCAUCACUCAAAGAUGAUCCCGCGUUGUAUUAGCUAGUUGGUGAGGUAAAGGCUCACCAAGGCGAUGAUACAUAGCCGACCUGAGAGGGUGAUCGGCCACAUUGGGACUGAGACACGGCCCAAACUCCUACGGGAGGCAGCAGUAGGGAAUCUUCGGCAAUGGACGAAAGUCUGACCGAGCAACGCCGCGUGAGUGAAGAAGGUUUUCGGAUCGUAAAACUCUGUUGGUAGAGAAGAACGUUGGUGAGAGUGGAAAGCUCACCAAGUGACGGUAACUACACAGAAAGGGACGGCUAACUACGUG